GCCAACCAGCGAUGGUGAGCGAAUCCCAAAAAGUGCGUCGUAGUCCGGAUUGGAGUCUGCAACUCGACUCCAUGAAGUCGGAAUCGCUAGUAAUCGUGAAUCAGAAUGUCACGGUGAAUACGUUCCCGGGCCUUGUACACACCGCCCGUCACACCAUGGGAGUGGGCUGCAAAAGAAGUGGGUAGUUUAACCUUUCGAGGAGGACGCUCACCACUUUGUGGUUCAUGACUGGGGUGAAGUCGUAACAAGGUAGCCCUAGGGGAACCUGGGGCUGGAUCACCUCCUUAUACGAUGAU
Molecule: ribosomal RNA, 296 nt
Filed under: Vibrio sp. UCD-FRSSP16_10
Lineage: Bacteria; Pseudomonadati; Pseudomonadota; Gammaproteobacteria; Vibrionales; Vibrionaceae
Description: partial 16S ribosomal RNA
Rfam family: Bacterial small subunit ribosomal RNA
Source: RNAcentral